CCUACGGGUGGCUGCAGUGGGGAAUCUUUCGCAAUGGGCGAAAGCCUGACGCAGCGACGCCGCGUGAGGGAUGAAGGUCUUCGGAUCGUAAACCCCUGUCAGUAGGGAAGAACGGUCACUGUGCUAAUCAGCAGUGAAUUGACGGUACCUGCAAAGGAAGCACCGGCUAACUCCGUGCCAGCAGCCGCGGUAAUACGGAGGGUGCGAGCGUUAAUCGGAAUUACUGGGCGUAAAGCGCUCGUAGGCGGUAGGUCAAGUCAAGGGUGAAAGCCCCGCGCUCAACGUGGGAACUGCCUUUGAAACUGGCAAACUAGAGUGUUGGAGAGGAUAGUGGAAUUCCAGGUGUAGGAGUGAAAUCCGGAGAGAGCUGGAGGAACAUCAGUGGCGAAGGCGACUAUCUGGCACAUAACUGACGCUGAGGAGCGAAAGCGUGGGUAGCAAACAGGAUUAGAUACCCCUGUAGUC
Molecule: ribosomal RNA, 465 nt
Filed under: uncultured bacterium
Lineage: Bacteria
Description: partial 16S ribosomal RNA
Rfam family: Bacterial small subunit ribosomal RNA
Source: RNAcentral